RNAcentral lists this ribosomal RNA (262 nucleotides) under uncultured Burkholderiales bacterium. RNAcentral's name for it is "partial 16S ribosomal RNA". It matches the Rfam family "Bacterial small subunit ribosomal RNA", at positions 524 to 785 of the family's 1533-position model. The record is from RNAcentral. Lineage: Bacteria; Pseudomonadati; Pseudomonadota; Betaproteobacteria; Burkholderiales.
UACGUAGGGUGCAGGCGUUAAUCGGAAUUACUGGGCGUAAAGCGUGCGCAGGCGGUUAUGCAAGACAGAGGUGAAAUCCCCGGGCUCAACCUGGGAACUGCCUUUGUGACUGCAUGGCUAGAGUACGGUAGAGGGGGAUGGAAUUCCGCGUGUAGCAGUGAAAUGCGUAGAUAUGCGGAGGAACACCGAUGGCGAAGGCAAUCCCCUGGACCUGUACUGACGCUCAUGCACGAAAGCGUGGGGAGCAAACAGGAUUAGAUAC